CAGUAGCCGCGGUAAAACGGAGGGGGCUAGCGUUGUUCGGAAUUACUGGGCGUAAAGCGCACGUAGGCGGCUUGGUAAGUUAGAGGUGAAAGCCCGGAGCUCAACUCCGGAAUUGCCUUUAAGACUGCCGAGCUAGCAGGUGAGAGAGGUAAGUGGAAUUCCGAGUGUAGAGGUGAAAUUCGUAGAUAUUCGGAAGAACACCAGUGGCGAAGGCGGCUUACUGGCUCAUACUGGACGCUGAGGUGCGAAAGCGUGGGGAGCAAACAGGAUUAGAUACCCGCGUAGUCCCUGUCUCUUAUAC
RNAcentral lists this ribosomal RNA (301 nucleotides) under uncultured bacterium. Its description in RNAcentral is "partial 16S ribosomal RNA". It matches the Rfam family "Bacterial small subunit ribosomal RNA", at positions 509 to 807 of the family's 1533-position model. The record is from RNAcentral.